CCAGCUUUGAUGCGGGGUCGGUGAGCCGAGGAGUCGAAAGAAAGAUUUCUUGGACUCUCAAGAUCUGGCAGUAGUGCUCUUUUAUUUAGAGAAUAGUGUGGAAUAGCAUGUGGACAGGACCCAUGGGCAGUCAGAGCUUCUGCUGCCGCUUCUGCUGCCCCCGCUGGCAUGGGGACAGGACCCACAGGCAGGCAGAGCCGCUGCUGCUGCCCCCACUGGCAUGGGGACAGGACCCAUGGGCAGGCAGCAGCAGGAGCUCUGACUGCCCGUGGGUUCUGUCCCCAUGCACCAGCUCUGCCUGCCCAUGGGUCCUGUCCCCAUGCCAGCGGGGGCAGCAGCAGCAGCUCUGCCUGCCCAUGGGCUCUGUCCCCAUGCCAGCGGGGGCAGCAGAAGCGGCGGCAGCAGAAGCUCUGACUGCCCAUGGGUCCUGUCCCCAUGCUAUUCCACACUAUUUUCUAAAUAAAAGAGCACUACUGCCAGAUCUUGAGAGUCUAAGAAAUCUUUCUUUCGACUCCUCGGCUCACCGACCCCGCAUCAUUUCUGGUGGCCCGUACGGGGAAUUGCUUCAUCGGCUUGUGAGCUCGAGUUCUGGUAAGUGCCCUUUUCUUCCUUAUGCCUUUCUCUUUUUCAAGGAUGGAUCUAGAUUCACUGCUCCAUCGGGAACUUUCUCGGACAGCUGUAUGAAUCCACGUUUGCUGCCCAUGGCUACUCUAUGGGGCAAAUUGUGGCAUUCAGCUUGAAGAGAUUCAGUACCUUAAGCCUCAGGGUGAUGGAGAAUGAAUUAAUCCAUUCCUUCCUGACUUUAUCUCUAAUAGACAAAUUUUGCGUGGGCGCGGGUCGGCCACUUAAGUCAUUAGGACAGCCGCCAAUCUCCAAGACUCCCGUGGAAGGUUUCUUUUCCUAAGGCUGGAUUGGGAUCCCUCCCUCUGGCACCUGACCAUGCUCUGAACUGCGAGGAAAGUCCCACUCGGGACUCCAGUUCAAGGAAAGUACCAAACUCUAACCUUUGGUGGAGUAUGGGAACCCCUUCUUGGGAGAAUGGCUCCAGGCUGCAAUUGGGUAGAAUGUCCCCCAGACUGGCGGAAAAUUCCUCACUGUCUUUCUCUUUCUCACUGUCUUUGUCCUUUUCUCUCCUGGGGACCAUACGCCAGGCACCUAUUCCUGCCAGGCAGAAUAGGGAAGAUGUUCAAGGGAUGCCCCAUCCCUUGCUACAGGAACUCCAUUGGGGGGAUUUUCAAGGUAAUGGCUCCCUUUCUCUGGGACCAUACGCCAGGCACCUAUUACUGUCAGGCAGAAUAGAGAAGAUGUUCAAGGGAUGCCCCCAUCAUCCCUUGCAACAGGAACCCCAAUGGGGGGAUUUUCAAGGUAAUGGCCCCUUUUCUUUCUCCUUUUCUCUCAGGAACCAUUCACCAGGCCUAUGCUGUCAGGCAGAAUAGGCACCAGGCACCUGUUACUGCCAGGCAUAACAGGGAAGGUAUACAAGGGAUGCAAUGCCGGGGGACGCCCCCAUCACCCCUUGCUAUAGGAACCCCACAGUAGGAACGACGGGUAGGACGCUGCCCUAGGUUCAGGGGGGAUUUUUCAUGGUAAUGGACCCGUUUCUUUUGUCUCUCUUAAGAGUUACAAUGGCCAUUUUCGUCUCCAUUUGAGCUUUGCAAUUGGGAAAGAAAUCUUUAAAGAGUAAAAGGCUCCACCGCUGGGAGCCCCAACUUUGGGUUUCUGGGCCUGAUCACCCCAGCAACCCUAAGUGGGGGUGCCCUCUCUUGACGGUUGACUCAUUGAGUAUUUUAGUCACCUACUGAGUCGGUUAUGAGGGUAGGAGACCUGUGAUUCAUUCUGUGAACUGUCGUGCUAGGGUAGUGUGCCGCAGCAUAGGAACUGUUGUGUGACUCUUAUCUUGAUAACCCUCUGGAAGAGGCCAGGAGGGCGAGGUUUGAGCUCUUCUUUUCCUUUCUUUGUCUGUCUUAUUCAUCAUCUCCUUUGUUGUCACCAAGUCGAGGUUAAAGUUCAGGCUGGACCUGAGCAGAACCUUGACCUUCUGUAAAAUUGGAAAAAUAAGCCUUUUGCCAGGGAUUUAACUCUCAAACCUGGCUCUAGGAGCCCCAGCCUCCAGCCAGUUCCAGGCCUUUGCCUCUUGCUUCCCUACCUCAACUGUGCUGGCUCGGAGACAAAGUGCCCAGGCUGAGCGGGACUUGACUAAAUCUUAUAGCUAUGUCAACAUCCGCAAUCGGCCUCUGCAGCCUUUCUCCAUCUGCUGUCAGUCAGACACUGGCUUUACUGCCACAGGGAAGGCCCCUAAGCAUCCCCGGAGGCCCACCCUGCGGAUGCAUUCUAACUCCAUCUGGGAGAAAACUUGAGGGGUUUCUCUGUGCUUUUGUGAUGCAGCUGGACAGGUAGAUCAAACUGGAAUGUAAUUUGCGUUACGAUCCAGUUUGUGGGAAAUCAAGAGCAACUGUCUUUAGAAAAUCCUUGCAAGAAUGGAAAUACAGCUCUAGAGGCAGUUCAGACUCCACCUAGUUCCUUUAUCACGAAAAGGAUUAUCAUCUCCCCUCUCCAGGAACUACUAUCUAAGCCCAUCACUAAUUCCUAAGACUGAAGCAAAAAAAAAAA
This is a long non-coding RNA of Equus caballus (horse), 2610 nucleotides long. The record is from Ensembl. NCBI's taxonomy places the organism in Eukaryota, Metazoa, Chordata, Mammalia, Perissodactyla, Equidae.